Molecule: long non-coding RNA, 237 nt
Organism: Pipistrellus kuhlii (Kuhl's pipistrelle)
Lineage: Eukaryota; Metazoa; Chordata; Mammalia; Chiroptera; Vespertilionidae
Exons: 3
Source: RefSeq, a predicted model, not a curated record
AACCGUGACCUCCUGAGUGGCAAAAAUAGAAUAUUGGGGACUAGUUAUGGUUAUAGGAAAUAUUAAUCCUACUCUGUUAACCAUGAUUGCCUUGUGUUGGUUAAAGUAAGGACAUUCUGACCUGACUGGGAAGUGUACAGCCUCCCAGGACCUGGGAGUCAACCUUGGAACCAUUCUCAUUCAAGAACUGCCUAUCGUCAUGGAAAGAUUAACAACUUUAUUGCCCAAACAAUGGAG